RNAcentral lists this ribosomal RNA (301 nucleotides) under uncultured bacterium. RNAcentral's name for it is "partial 16S ribosomal RNA". It matches the Rfam family "Bacterial small subunit ribosomal RNA", at positions 509 to 807 of the family's 1533-position model. The record is from RNAcentral.
CAGCAGCCGCGGUAAUACAGAGGGUGCGAGCGUUAAUCGGAUUUACUGGGCGUAAAGCGUGCGUAGGCGGCUAAUUGAGUCGGAUGUGAAAUCCCCGAGCUUAACUUGGGAAUUGCAUUCGAUACUGGGAAGCUAGAGUAUGGGAGAGGAUGGUAGAAUUCCAGGUGUAGCGGUGAAAUGCGUAGAGAUCUGGAGGAAUACCGAUGGCGAAGGCAGCCAUCUGGCCUAAUACUGACGCUGAGGUACGAAAGCAUGGGGAGCAAACAGGAUUAGAUACCCCUGUAGUCCCUGUCUCUUAUAC